Molecule: non-coding RNA, 267 nt
Organism: Camelina sativa (false flax)
Lineage: Eukaryota; Viridiplantae; Streptophyta; Magnoliopsida; Brassicales; Brassicaceae
Source: RefSeq, a predicted model, not a curated record
CGCUCUGUUAUUCUAAACCCGACGUGUCUCUGAUUUUGCUUUCAACCCGAUCAUCAUCGCUCGCUCUUCUCUGGGUUUGGUCUCUCAAUUGCAUCGGUAUCGUCUUAUUAUGGUGUUUUGGAAGCGAAUCUAUGAUCUGAUCGUCGCUCCCGCUUCUGAAUUUUUCACUCCUUCUACGAUCGUCGUCGAGUAAGAGGCACUGGGAUUGCUCUGUUGGAUCUUCUCUUCUCCUCUAUCAUCGGUUGUUAAGGUCUGCUAAGUCUGGGC